Molecule: ribosomal RNA, 305 nt
Filed under: uncultured bacterium
Lineage: Bacteria
Description: bacterial SSU rRNA
Rfam family: Bacterial small subunit ribosomal RNA
Source: RNAcentral
GUCCUACGGGAGGCAGCAGUGGGGAAUAUUGGGCAAUGGGCGCAAGCCUGACCCAGCAACGCCGCGUGAAGGAAGAAGGCUUUCGGGUUGUAAACUUCUUUUCUCAGGGACGAAGAAAGUGACGGUACCUGAGGAAUAAGCCACGGCUAACUACGUGCCAGCAGCCGCGGUAAUACGUGGGUGGCAAGCGUUAUCCGGAUUUACUGGGUGUAAAGGGCGUGUAGGCGGGGAAGCAAGUCAGAUGUGAAAUCCUGCGGCUUAACCGCAGAACUGCAUUUGAAACUGUUGAUCUUGAGUACUGGAGA